Molecule: ribosomal RNA, 510 nt
Filed under: uncultured bacterium
Lineage: Bacteria
Description: partial 16S ribosomal RNA
Rfam family: Bacterial small subunit ribosomal RNA
Source: RNAcentral
GACGAACGCUGGCGGCGUGCUUAACACAUGCAAGUCGAACGAAGAGCGAUGGAAGCUUGCUUCUAUCAAUCUUAGUGGCGAACGGGUGAGUAACGCGUAAUCAACCUGCCCUUCAGAGGGGGACAACAGUUGGAAACGACUGCUAAUACCGCAUACGAUCUAAUCUCGGCAUCGAGGAUAGAUGAAAGGUGGCCUCUAUGUAUAAGCUAUCACUGAAGGAGGGGAUUGCGUCUGAUUAGCUAGUUGGAGGGGUAACGGCCCACCAAGGCGAUGAUCAGUAGCCGGUCUGAGAGGAUGAACAGCCACAUUGGGACUGAGACACGGCCCAGACUCCUACGGGAGGCAGCAGUGGGGAAUCUUCCGCAAUGGACGAAAGUCUGACGGAGCAACGCCGCGUGAGUGAUGACGGCCUUCGGGUUGUAAAGCUCUGUUAAUCGGGACGAAAGGCCUUCUUGCGAAUAGUGAGAAGGAUUGACGGUACCGGAAUAGAAAGCCACGGCUAACUACGUG